RNAcentral lists this ribosomal RNA (1343 nucleotides) under uncultured bacterium. RNAcentral's name for it is "16S ribosomal RNA". It matches the Rfam family "Bacterial small subunit ribosomal RNA", at positions 28 to 1378 of the family's 1533-position model. The record is from RNAcentral.
GACGAACGCUGGCGGCGUGCUUAACACAUGCAAGUCGAACGGAAAGGCCCUGCUUUUGUGGGGUGCUCGAGUGGCGAACGGGUGAGUAACACGUGAGUAACCUGCCCUUGACUUUGGGAUAACUUCAGGAAACUGGGGCUAAUACCGGAUAGGAGCUCCUGCUGCAUGGUGGGGGUUGGAAAGUUUCGGCGGUUGGGGAUGGACUCGCGGCUUAUCAGCUUGUUGGUGGGGUAGUGGCUUACCAAGGCUUUGACGGGUAGCCGGCCUGAGAGGGUGACCGGCCACAUUGGGACUGAGAUACGGCCCAGACUCCUACGGGAGGCAGCAGUGGGGAAUAUUGCACAAUGGGCGGAAGCCUGAUGCAGCAACGCCGCGUGCGGGAUGACGGCCUUCGGGUUGUAAACCGCUUUCGCCUGUGACGAAGCGUGAGUGACGGUAAUGGGUAAAGAAGCACCGGCUAACUACGUGCCAGCAGCCGCGGUGAUACGUAGGGUGCGAGCGUUGUCCGGAUUUAUUGGGCGUAAAGGGCUCGUAGGUGGUUGAUCGCGUCGGAAGUGUAAUCUUGGGGCUUAACCCUGAGCGUGCUUUCGAUACGGGUUGACUUGAGGAAGGUAGGGGAGAAUGGAAUUCCUGGUGGAGCGGUGGAAUGCGCAGAUAUCAGGAGGAACACCAGUGGCGAAGGCGGUUCUCUGGGCCUUUCCUGACGCUGAGGAGCGAAAGCGUGGGGAGCGAACAGGCUUAGAUACCCUGGUAGUCCACGCUGUAAACGGUGGGUACUAGGUGUGGGGUCCAUUCCACGGGGUCCGUGCCGUAGCUAACGCUUUAAGUACCCCGCCUGGGGAGUACGGCCGCAAGGCUAAAACUCAAAGGAAUUGACGGGGCCCCGCACAAGCGGCGGAGCAUGCGGAUUAAUUCGAUGCAACGCGUAGAACCUUACCUGGGUUUGACAUGGAUCGGGAGUGCUCAGAGAUGGGUGUGCCUCUUUUGGGGUCGGUUCACAGGUGGUGCAUGGCUGUCGUCAGCUCGUGUCGUGAGAUGUUGGGUUAAGUCCCGCAACGAGCGCAACCCUUGUUCACUGUUGCCAGCACGUUAUGGUGGGGACUCAGUGGAGACCGCCGGGGUCAACUCGGAGGAAGGUGGGGAUGACGUCAAGUCAUCAUGCCCCUUAUGUCCAGGGCUUCACGCAUGCUACAAUGGCUGGUACAGAGAGUGGCGAGCCUGUGAGGGUGAGCGAAUCUCGGAAAGCCGGUCUCAGUUCGGAUUGGGGUCUGCAACUCGACCUCAUGAAGUCGGAGUCGCUAGUAAUCGCAGAUCAGCAACGCUGCGGUGAAUACGUUCCCGGG